This 539-nucleotide long non-coding RNA is filed under the name Salvia miltiorrhiza (redroot sage). RNAcentral's name for it is "long non-coding RNA (SMIL_LNC011987)". Lineage: Eukaryota; Viridiplantae; Streptophyta; Magnoliopsida; Lamiales; Lamiaceae. The record is from RNAcentral.
UUUAUAGAAAUUAUUUUAAAUUUUCUUUAUCAUAUUUUGCCCCCCUUGUCUUUUAGGGGCUUGGCUCCGCCCCUGGUUUAUGCUUUUUCAUGCUUUCUCUUGAUUAAUUAAGCUUCACUAACUGUUUUAGCUAUAUAUAUAGCUUUCUAAAAGUGUAUAUAUUUUGAUUUUGGUUGUUUAGGUUUCAGCACUGCCAGCACAGAAUUAGCACUAUCACGAAAACACUUACUAUCACAAAUGCAAUGACACCUCACGUAUUUUCAAGGAUUUUGGGUUUCUCAUCAUCCCUUUUUUGCUUGAGGAAGUUGAUCAAGGUUGUGAUAUUACUAGUGUUUGUAAAACAUUUUCUUAACUUGCUAUUCCUUCUUCUAUGCAGAUGCUUCCAAGAGGACAUGAGUUUACUUGGAAGCUUUGUCAUCUUCGAUUGCAAAUGCUUCAUCUCUCAUCAUACGAUUCUUUUCAUGUAAUUAUCAGAAUUUUGAGUCGGAAGCUGUACAAUUCUUUACAGGCUUUAUAUCUGCAUAAACGUGUUUCUUUAU